GGCAAUAAUUUCUCACCAAGCGACCUACUUACUAUCAAUUCUGUAUCAUGAUGUGUCUUCAUAUAUUUAUAUAGAGAUGUAAUAAUAGAGGUUUGAUUUUUUUUUUUUUUUGACUUAGUCCAAUUCUUUGAGAAAUUUGUAUCAUUCUUAUAUUAUAUAUAUGCAUAUUAAAAAUUAAGAUUAUUAAUUGAUGUUCUGAUGAGACAUUGCAAAUUACACUUGCACAGCUAUAUGCAUAAGGGUGAAUUAAAUUUUUAUACUCAGUUGACUGCAAAAUUAA
Molecule: long non-coding RNA, 280 nt
Filed under: Capsella rubella
Lineage: Eukaryota; Viridiplantae; Streptophyta; Magnoliopsida; Brassicales; Brassicaceae
Description: long non-coding RNA (CRUB_LNC004477)
Source: RNAcentral